RNAcentral lists this ribosomal RNA (253 nucleotides) under uncultured bacterium. Its description in RNAcentral is "partial 16S ribosomal RNA". It matches the Rfam family "Bacterial small subunit ribosomal RNA", at positions 524 to 776 of the family's 1533-position model. The record is from RNAcentral.
UACGAAGGGGGCUAGCGUUGCUCGGAAUCACUGGGCGUAAAGCGACCGCAGGCGGCCUGACAAGUCGGAUGUGAAAGCCCUGGGCUCAACUCAGGAAUUGCAUUCGAAACUGGCAGGCUCGAGUACGGGAGAGGGGGGUGGAAUUCCUGGUGUAGGGGUGAAAUUCGUUGAUAUCAGGAGGAACACCGGCGGCGAAGGCGGCCCCCUGGCCCGCAACUGACGCUCAUGGUCGAAAGCGUGGGGAGCAAACAGG